Molecule: ribosomal RNA, 468 nt
Filed under: uncultured bacterium
Lineage: Bacteria
Description: partial 16S ribosomal RNA
Rfam family: Bacterial small subunit ribosomal RNA
Source: RNAcentral
GACGAACGCUGGCGGCGUGCUUAACACAUGCAAGUCGAACGGAAAGGCCCUGCUUUUGUGGGGUGCUCGAGUGGCGAACGGGUGAGUAACACGUGAGUAACCUGCCCUUGACUUUGGGAUAACUUCAGGAAACUGGGGCUAAUACCGGAUAGGAGCUCCUGCUGCAUGGUGGGGGUUGGAAAGUUUCGGCGGUUGGGGAUGGACUCGCGGCUUAUCAGCUUGUUGGUGGGGUAGUGGCUUACCAAGGCUUUGACGGGUAGCCGGCCUGAGAGGGUGACCGGCCACAUUGGGACUGAGAUACGGCCCAGACUCCUACGGGAGGCAGCAGUGGGGAAUAUUGCACAAUGGGCGGAAGCCUGAUGCAGCAACGCCGCGUGCGGGAUGACGGCCUUCGGGUUGAAAACCGAUUUCGCCUGUGACGAAGCGUGAGUGACGGUAAUGGGUAAAGAAGCACCGGCUAACUACGUG